UACGUAGGGUGCGAGCGUUGUCCGGAAUUAUUGGGCGUAAAGAGCUCGUAGGCGGUUUGUUGCGUCUAUCGUGAAAACCUGCAGCUUAACUGUGGGCUUGCGGUGGAUACGGGCAGACUUGAGUUCGGUAGGGGAGACUGGAAUUCCUGGUGUAGCGGUGAAAUGCGCAGAUAUCAGGAGGAACACCGGUGGCGAAGGCGGCAUCCUGGACCGGCAUUGACGCUGAGGCGCGAAAGCCAGGGGAGCAAACGGG
This 253-nucleotide ribosomal RNA is filed under the name uncultured bacterium. Its description in RNAcentral is "partial 16S ribosomal RNA". It matches the Rfam family "Bacterial small subunit ribosomal RNA", at positions 524 to 776 of the family's 1533-position model. The record is from RNAcentral.